AGGAGAAGUGAAGAUAAUCUUCUGGGUGAAUCCAGCUGCAGUGGGAGCACCUUCUUCAUCCUCUCCGUGGUGCUGCUCGUGCUGCUCCUCCUGGCCCUCGUCACUGUCACAGCCCUGGGUGUCAGGCACUACAGGCUCCUGCUCAGGACAGGUAACAGAGGAGCAGAGGGCACCAGAGACAGACCAGAGGGCACAGCACAGCCUGGCAGCACCGGGAGGAGGGGAAGUUCUCA
Molecule: non-coding RNA, 233 nt
Organism: Sturnus vulgaris (Common starling)
Lineage: Eukaryota; Metazoa; Chordata; Aves; Passeriformes; Sturnidae
Source: RefSeq, a predicted model, not a curated record